Molecule: ribosomal RNA, 253 nt
Filed under: uncultured bacterium
Lineage: Bacteria
Description: partial 16S ribosomal RNA
Rfam family: Bacterial small subunit ribosomal RNA
Source: RNAcentral
UACAGAGGGUGCGAGCGUUAAUCGGAAUUACUGGGCGUAAAGCGUGCGUAGACGGUUAUUUAAGUCAGGUGUGAAAGCCCCGGGCUCAACCUGGGAAUUGCAUUUGAGACUGAAUAGCUAGGGUGCGGAAGAGGGAAGCGGAAUUUCCGGUGUAGCGGUGAAAUGCGUAGAUAUCGGAAGGAACACCAGUGGCGAAAGCGGCUUCCUGGUCCAGCACCGACGUUCAGGCACGAAAGCGUGGGGAGCAAACAGG